This 44-nucleotide non-coding RNA is filed under the name Trichobilharzia regenti. The record is from RNAcentral. Lineage: Eukaryota; Metazoa; Platyhelminthes; Trematoda; Strigeidida; Schistosomatidae.
AUCUAGAUGAUGAGUCUCAAUAGGACGAAAUGCGCAUCCUGGAC